UUCUAUGAUUCUAAGGGUUGCCUGCUCCUCUGUACAUUAAUUCUUGGAAGCAGAUGCCAGGCUGGGGAGAGCUGUUUCCUUGUGGGGAAGGUGCAUAUUGUCCCCUGCAGAGUAGCUUAUUGGUAAAUGGGGAGGCAGCCUUACCUGUAUAAUGUGCUCUGGGUAAUCGUUAGCUUUCCAAGUGUUACAGUUAAAGUAGCAUGAUAGCUCACUUAGGCUUCCCUGUGCCUGCACAUGAUGAAAACUAUGUUGGUAGGGACAUCUGAGAGGGUGAUGAAUACCAACAUAUCUGAGCUGGGCAUGGAGUAGUGUGCAGUGGUGUAUCUGUCAUGGCUGAAAUGCCAUGCGGCCCUUUCUGGGCAGCCAGACCAGUGGCUGCAGGACUGACCUGGUGCUUACAUGCUAGAAUCAAAGCUAUAGAAAACCUUUAUGAAGUUAAGUGUGCUGUCCUGCUUAAAAAUAGGGGCUGCCAAUUAUUUCUGUGGCUUUGUCUCUCAAAAGAGCUGAAGUGUGGGUUGCUUCAGGGCGAACUUUGCUGUAAGGCUUGGAUUAUUGUUUUGAGUUUUACUUGCAUUUUUAAAAGAGAAUGUGUGAACAUAACAUCUUCAUUCUUACAAUAAGGAAAAGCUAAUGAAUACUCUCUUGUUUUCAGUUUUAAGAUGCAUCAACUACACUCUUCCCCUCUCUUACGGCUUCAAAACAGAUCUGCCACUGAAUAUGGAGACUUGAUGCUACUUCACAAGGACUUGAAUUGUGCCUGUGGAAGACUUGCAGAAGAAACAUCAGCAGGCACUGGGAGAUGAAGUGAUAAGCUGUGCAAGGCUGCCCUGGACAGAGGAUACGUGUGCCUCCAGUGUGAGAAGCUGUUUCACCUGUUACUGAUGCUGGUGAAGACAAGGCCUUCCUGAUUGAAGGGUUUCCAAAGUGUUUCUCACUGUGAUGGCUGGUGUGGUGGAGCUGUGGAGUGGUACAGUUGGUAGAGCUACCAGUAAAAAUUUAAGAAUGGGAGAACUGCUGGAUACUUUGUGACAAAUGCUUCUUACUUGAGUGUGGAGCUUGUGGGAAGUUUGUGACACAAGACUAACUUAUAUCUGAGGAAAGGACUGUGCUGUCUGCAACCUCAUUGGGUGAGGAGGCAACUUUGAAACUACUGUAUGAAGAACAGAGAAGGUGGAAGAUUGCAGAAUAAUGGGUUACAACUGCAUGAACAGCAUUUAAAAAAGCCAAGCUUUUUUCACACACUGGUAAUGUUUGCCUGAUACUGAUUGGAACAAAUA
Long non-coding RNA from Egretta garzetta (little egret), 1277 nucleotides. RefSeq lists it as uncharacterized. NCBI's taxonomy places the organism in Eukaryota, Metazoa, Chordata, Aves, Pelecaniformes, Ardeidae. The transcript is spliced from 12 exons. The record is from RefSeq and is a predicted model, not a curated record.